AUUGAACGCUGGCGGCGUGCUUAACACAUGCAAGUCGAGCGGUAACAGGCGUAGCAAUACGUGCUGACGAGCGGCGAACGGGUGCGUAAUACAUGGGAAUCUGCCUAGUAGUGGGGAAUAACCCGGCGAAAGCCGGGCUAAUGCCGCAUACGAUCCACGGAUGAAAGCGGGGGACCGUUCGGGCCUCGCGCUAUUGGAUGAGCCCACUGUCGGAUUAGCUAGUUGGNGAGGUAACGGCUCACCAAGGCGACGAUCCGUAGCUGGUCUGAGAGGACGGCCAGCCACACUGGGACUGAGACACGGCCCAGACUCCUACGGGAGGCAGCAGUGGGGAAUAUUGGACAAUGGGGUAACCCUGAUCCAGCGACGCCGCGUGUGUGAAGAAGGCCUGCGGGGUUGUAAAGCACUUUCGGU
RNAcentral lists this ribosomal RNA (414 nucleotides) under uncultured bacterium. RNAcentral describes it as "bacterial SSU rRNA". It matches the Rfam family "Bacterial small subunit ribosomal RNA", at positions 29 to 440 of the family's 1533-position model. The record is from RNAcentral.